GUUUAGUGCUAAAACCCAACAAGU
RNAcentral lists this non-coding RNA (24 nucleotides) under Arabidopsis thaliana (thale cress). Lineage: Eukaryota; Viridiplantae; Streptophyta; Magnoliopsida; Brassicales; Brassicaceae. The record is from RNAcentral.